AUUGCCUUUUUUUUCCCUAGAACAGCACAGUUCUGUACUAAUUAAGAUGGAAAUAAUUUAUAAAGCAAAGCAAAUUAUUUGUUUCAAGCCUUUAUUAUGUUACUACAAAAUACAAGUUUUGCUUUUCCUUCUUCCUCCAAAAUACAUUUUGGAUGGAAAUUGCUUUACAAUAGGUCUGUAAGUUCUUCUACAAAGCAAGUAUUUUAGACCAUCUCUCAUCUAGUAGUGCUGAUGGAGAAUUUAAAUUGAGAUCUAGCAGCUGUGUUGUCAACCUUUUGUUACAGCUUUCCCAUCAAAACUAUCUAGACCACUUAAGUAGAUUAUGUCAUGAUUUGCUGUUGUUGUGGACAAACACAGUAGCUGACAGCUAAAACUGCCAAAACAGUUGUAUCUUAAAAACAAGCUAAGGUUGCCCAAGAUGCUCUUUAAUUAGCUUUAAAGCUGUUUACUAAAAAGACCACAUUUUUCAUUACAGCAGAACAUGACUCCAUUAGAGAAUAGUUUGGUUUUUCAGUUUUCCUGGGGCAUAGUAGGAAAUCCUCUGUUGCUUUGAAUGUGUGCAUAAGCUCUGCCUUUGCUUCACAAGACUUAACAAAACAUGACAACUGAAUCUUGCUGCUGAAGAGGAUUUUAAAUGGGCUUGUAUCUGUACAGCCCUAUUUACCAUAUGUUGUAUUUAGCUACCUAAGACAAUACUAUACCAAUUUUUAGGUUUGCAUUAUUUACAUCUUACAUUUAUAUGGGGAGGAUUAACUUCCACUUUGGGAAGGAGUAUUAUGUUGCUUUCUUGGUGCAUUUUCAAUGUAUGUAAAUGCUAUUUGAAUUGAACUCCAAUAUUAACCUACCACUGCCUUAUUACAGCAGGUUACAGUCACACAAGGCAAUUAAUUCCCUUAAUGAAGAAUCAGCCAGUGACAUGGUAUCCUAUCUGGAGACAGAGCACAUUAUCUCUGAUGGACCUCAGCUGUUCAAGGUCCAUGGAGCACUGCUGGAAGACAUACUCUUCAGAAUGUCAAGCUGGGCAUGGAUCUGGUUAGAACUGGCUGUUAAUAAAGAGUAAGCACAGAUUAUUUGCUUAAAGAAACAUUCCUUUCUAAAACACAAGGGCAUGAGUCCAUGUUGCAGAUCCUCUGUUUCCAGAUCCAAUUGCCUCUCCCUAGAGAGGAUAGGCACAACCUUUCUUUCAUGAAGAUAAUGGGUGAGUACUGGUCCAUUUUAUAAUCUGUUGGAAGAGGUUCACUAUUUAAAAUAAUCAGAUAGAGGAUAAGGCCAGGAGAGGGAAACUGUCUAUGAAGUGACCUUACCAAGACCAAUAUGGACCAAACAGGCCCUGUUGCUUAGAGGAAUGCAUAGAGAAUAGUCUGUGAGUGGGGAGAAGACCUAUUCUUCAAACCACGCUGAAGGCAGAUGUCUCUGCAGAAGGAUGUGUAAAUCAAUGAGUGAGGAAGAAAGAACUUAGAGGAAUCUUCUCAUAGCUCAAUGUUUAAGGCAGUCCUGUAUGAGAGGAGCAGACAGAGUCCCAGAUCCUACUGGCAAGAGAUCUGACCUGAAAAAUAAAAUAAAAACAUAUUUAUUUUUAAUAUAUAUA
RNAcentral lists this long non-coding RNA (1588 nucleotides) under Numida meleagris (helmeted guineafowl). RNAcentral's name for it is "lncRNA (ENSNMEG00000010839.1)". Lineage: Eukaryota; Metazoa; Chordata; Aves; Galliformes; Numididae. The record is from RNAcentral.